Long non-coding RNA from Oncorhynchus tshawytscha (Chinook salmon), 321 nucleotides. Lineage: Eukaryota; Metazoa; Chordata; Actinopteri; Salmoniformes; Salmonidae. The record is from Ensembl.
CAGGGGGUUGGGGUUACGGUACAGGGGUUUAGGGUUAUGGGACAGAGGGUUACGGUUUAGGGUUAUUGGACAGGGGGUUAGGGUUAUGGGACAGGGGUUUAGGGUUAUGGGACAUGAGGUUAGGUUUUAGGGUUAUGGGACAGUGUGUUAGGUUUAUGGGACAGGGGUUUAGGGUUUUGGGUUAUGGGACAGGGUGUUAGGGUUAUGGCACAGGGGUUAGGGUUAUGGGACAGGAGGAUAGGGUUAUGGGACAGGGAUAAGGGUUAUGGGACAGGAGGUUAGGGUUAUGGGACAGGGGGUUAGGGUUAUGGGACAGGGUUU